CGGGGCGUGGCGCAGCUCGGUAGCGCGCGUGCUUCGGGAGCACGAGGUCCCGGGUUCAAAUCCCGGCGCCCCGA
Molecule: transfer RNA, 74 nt
Filed under: Gemmatimonadota bacterium
Lineage: Bacteria; Pseudomonadati; Gemmatimonadota
Description: Gemmatimonadetes bacterium tRNA-Pro
Rfam family: tRNA
About the family: Transfer RNA (tRNA) molecules are approximately 80 nucleotides in length. Their secondary structure includes four short double-helical elements and three loops (D, anti-codon, and T loops).
Source: RNAcentral